UCUCUUUGCUCUGCUGGCCGCGGUCGUGAACAGAAGUUUUGUAGUGUGUGGUGUUGUGGCCUUCUGAGUCGGCCCUAAAUGUGCCAUUCCCAACUCAAACGGGCAGGGCACGCAGAUUAUUGUUGUUGAAAUAAAGGAAUUCCGGUUGGACACCGAAAUCCCGCUGUUCGCCGAUUUUGUGGACUCACUGCCACGUGCUGAGUUUUAUUACUGUUGAAGAUUGUGUGUGGUUGGGCAGUGCUCGGUGGCGAGCCUCUGCGCUGUCUGCUGUUGCUGUCUAUUGUUGCUGUCUGUUGUUGCUGACGUUGCCUCCAUAGCAGGUGACGAUGGUGCCUGAGAGUCGUUCCCCGACCAUGACUGGCCGAUAUGUACACUACCGAGGCCGUCCACCGCGGUCCUGGGCUACCCUACUUCAUAAGGUUGGUUCCGUUUUCUAUUGAGCUUGUCAAUUAUUUUAGUUUACUUUGAAAAAGUAGAUUACCCACAAUGAUUACAUUUUACCAAAAAGUAAAUUCUUAAAUAAAUUUACCAUUGUGAAGUAUUAUCAAUGGAUUUUGUUGUGUUAACUAUUUUUAGUUCGCUUUGUGAAGGUCGAUGAUGUAAUAAUUACAAAGAUUACAUUUUACCAAAAUGUUAGUUCCUAAAUAAAUUUACCAUUGUGAAGUAUUAUCAAUGGAUUUUGUUGUGUUAACUAUUUUUAGUUCGCUUUGUGAAGGUCGAUGAUGUAAUAAUUACAAAGAUUACAUUUUACCAAAAUGUUAGUUCCUAAAUAAAUUUACCAUUGUGACGUAUUAUCGAUGGAUUUUGUCGUGUAAACUAUUUUUUGUUCGCUUUGUGAAG
Long non-coding RNA from Ostrinia nubilalis (European corn borer), 840 nucleotides. RefSeq lists it as uncharacterized. The transcript is spliced from 3 exons. The record is from RefSeq and is a predicted model, not a curated record. NCBI's taxonomy places the organism in Eukaryota, Metazoa, Arthropoda, Insecta, Lepidoptera, Crambidae.